This 616-nucleotide long non-coding RNA is filed under the name Piliocolobus tephrosceles (Ugandan red Colobus). RNAcentral's name for it is "lncRNA (ENSPTEG00000019384.1)". Lineage: Eukaryota; Metazoa; Chordata; Mammalia; Primates; Cercopithecidae. The record is from RNAcentral.
AUUAUUUUUUAUUGAUCAUUUUUUUUUGUUCGAUGUGAGCAAAACCAAUUCUACACAUUCAGUUAUGUCACAUUUAAGUGUAGGACUAUCAACUAGUUUUUUUCUUUAUUCAAAAGAAAAUAAUUCAAAUUUUGUUACUGCACUUUUUAACUUUUUUAUUAUCUUAUACUUAGAAAACGAAGAAAUUUUAAAAGGAUCGUUGAUGAAAAAUAAAAAAAUAGAACAGUUAGAACAAAACGAAAAUUUUAAUCAUAACAUCUUUUGUGAUAUAUUAAACAACCUUACAGCUAGCUAUGAUAAUGCCGAUAUUAUAGAUAAAUCCUUUUGCGAAUGUAUAAAUUUUUUGUUAAACAUUUUAAAUAUUCAACAUCCGGACGUUCUUACAAGUUUAAAAGACGCAUACUCUAGAACAAAACAUAUAAAAAGACUUGACGUUUGUAACCAAAUUAUUAACAUUUUAACAUAAAACCGUUUUUUUGCUUUAACUAAGAAUUUUUUUUUUUUUUUACUUUAAUUUUAAAUACAAUAUGAGUAAAAAAAAAAGUAUUUUAUUUUAUACUUUUUGUCCUAUACAAUUUAUACACAUUUUUAUAAUAAAUAAUUUUUUUUUUCACCA